AUGUAUCCGGUUAGCUUUAUUGCUUAUCAAAAAUCAUGGGUAAUGUAUUUUCGAGUCCGACUCACAGAUUCUUGUCAGGGCACUAAAUUCCGGGGAUUUAUAUAUUUUGCGGAUUAUGGCAUGCUGGUACGUGAAGUUAGGAGCGUUUGCAUGGUGACGUUUGACACAUUUGAGUUUAAUUUCUAUCCUCGGUCAUGUAAUUCUGUUGCCCAUGUGCUUGCGCAAUACGGGUACCGUAUGGUUGAAGCCACUAUGUUUUGGCUAGGUUCAAAACAACUUUUUGUUUCUGACAUGGUUGCUAGCGAGUCGAUUUACUGA
Molecule: ribosomal RNA, 318 nt
Filed under: Triticum aestivum (bread wheat)
Lineage: Eukaryota; Viridiplantae; Streptophyta; Magnoliopsida; Poales; Poaceae
Description: partial small subunit ribosomal RNA
Source: RNAcentral